GAAGCUGAUCAUCCGUUAGAUGUCAUGUUUAUCUGCUGCUCGAGACCAUUUAAAGAAGAUCACAGACGUGAUUUAAUAUAUAAAACUAAAAACGCAUCCCGUCUCCAACGACACACUUCUAGUUUGUUUUCAUGCAUUAAAACUACUGACACUGAUUCACUUCCGCUCCACUAGGCGGCGUCUGCGGCUUUGACGUUCAGCGUGACUGUGACACCUUUAGAGCCUCAUCAACAACAUGACACUGAUGACAGCCGCCUCGACACGACUGAUUAUUCAUGUUUUAAGACCGUUAAAGUACAGUUACUGCAGAUGACAGCUUAUUUACAGACUCAUUCAACAGCAUGUAUGUCAGCCAUAACGUUAAUAACAAACUACACGCUGUGUUGUCAAGCGUCCAGGAUGUCACUCUGAUCACCUCAGAAGCAUGUGGUCAGACAUUGACUGUAAUGAUGGACAUCUGCUGAGUGACAGAAUUAAUGUUGAACAGAUUAUAGUGUGAUUUCUGGAGCAACACGAGAUCCAUUUCCCCAUUCUCUGUUUAUUCUGCCACUGCUGAUGCACAAAUCCUCCACAAGUGGGCACAACAUUGACACAUUGAUCAGGCUUUCUUCAUUAAAUCUUUAUUAAAUGUGAUGUUUGUCUGUAGAUUGAUGUGUUGAUAUGAUGACCAGUCCUGAGCUUCACAUCCUCCUCAUCAGAGACACAGAGAAAGAUUCAGUCAAACCUGCUACUGGAAGAGAAAAAUCAGUCAAACAGUGCUGUAAUCUCAAAAAGAUGAACAAGUUAAACAUGUCUAAUAUAAGAGGAUACAGGGUCAGUAUAAAACAGGGUGUGUGUGUGUGUAUAGUUGGCAAAUAAAUGUACACAGAGGAUGAUUAAUUUAUAUUUAUGUAGUUUGAUUUUUUUAUGUUUGAGAAAAUAUCAGCGGUCAGUAACCUUAUUAAUUUCUUUCACAGUAAUUUUUUUCCCUUUUGUCUUUUAGUUGAACUGUACCAUAAACAUGCCCAAUGGUGCAACAAAAUAAAAAUAAGAAAAACAACUCUUAAUAAUAGGAUUUAUCUUAAUUGUUGGAAUCGUAUCUUUAAUUAAUGCUAAUACUAUUUUUUUUCUCCUUAAUUUUCCAAACUUGGACAUUUUCAAUAUAUACAGAGCUCAGCAUAUACGAGUACUCCCCUCACAAAUCUGUCUUU
Danio rerio (zebrafish) is the source of this 1190-nucleotide non-coding RNA. Lineage: Eukaryota; Metazoa; Chordata; Actinopteri; Cypriniformes; Danionidae. The record is from RefSeq and is a predicted model, not a curated record.